Syzygium oleosum is the source of this 3808-nucleotide long non-coding RNA. RefSeq lists it as uncharacterized. The transcript has 2 exons. Lineage: Eukaryota; Viridiplantae; Streptophyta; Magnoliopsida; Myrtales; Myrtaceae. The record is from RefSeq and is a predicted model, not a curated record.
UUCAAUCGCUCCGGUUUCCUCAUUUAACCAAAAGGGCAAAGACGAGCACGCUCUCUCUCUCCACAGUCCACACACACAUUUUCUCUUUCCUUUUUUGCAGUGGUUUUGCCAUUUUCGGUCCAUGGCCGUCGUUCACUGUACGAUUCAUUCUGCAACAUCUGGUACGCUAUCCCCGAAACCUGUAGACACCUUGCAUGUGUGUUUGUGUGCCUGUGUCUCUGGAGACAGAGAGAGAGAAAGAGAGUGGGGUUUGGUUUUGUUGCUCUUGUUUUGGGUGUUCUUGACGGGGGGGAAAACCCUAGCUGUCACCGACACGCGAUGAUGAAUCUCUUUGAUGUUUAGAGACUCCUAAAGUAACUCUCCUCAAAUGGGUAUCUCCACCAUCUCCACAGAUCUGAUUUCUCCUCCUCCUCUUCUUCUUCUUCUUCUUCUUCUGAAUUCUGCUCCAUUGUCUUGCUGUUCUCUUGCAUCAUCUCUUUGUUAGGGUUGAUAUGGGGCAUAACAAGAACUUGACAGAAGAGAGUGAGCACACAGAGGUAAUUGUAUAGAGGCUAUACCUUUGCUUUUGUGUGCUCAUUUCUCUUUUCGUCAAGCUUCCCGUUGCCCGACUCUCUCUCUCUCUCUCUCUCUCUCUCUCUCUCUCUCUCUCUCUGUGGCUUUCUAUGUGGGACUGGCAAUGAGCCAAAGCAAAAGAAAACUGAGAACGCGCGACUGGUUCACAUGGGUUCUGUGAGUCUGGGUUUGAUUAAGCUGUGAAAGCUUUUUCCUUUGUUUCCUUUUGGAUUUUUUAAGCUUGAUGAUCAGCAACAGUUAGCAGCUUCAGAGAGCGUGACUUUCGAUGGGGUAAUUAAUGCCCUUUACUGUGCGGAUUUAACGGAAAAUUGCAUAUUUUAUGCGAGACCGUUCAGGUAAUUAAUAAUCUUCAUUGUUAUUUAUUUAUUGCAUUAUUUUGGUCUUAGACUCAGAGAGGAAUACCCUGUCCUUCGACUCUUCUACAGUUUGAUUUUCUUGCAUGCAAUAUGGAACAGGGAAAGCAUGACAUAGUUAAUGUCCAUAAGAAUGCUUAUUUUCAUGUCUUAUAAUCUGUUCUAGUUCUUGGUCUCUAGCCAGAUUAAGUGGCUUUUUACUGUAUUUUUCAAAUUAACAUGCUAGAAAACCUUCUUAGCUAGUUCAUACUCCCUCUUCCAUUCUCAAUAAAUAUAGGAUUUGGAGAAGGACAACAGUUCUAGAGCCAUCAAACUGUGGGAUGAGAGACACUUCGAGUAAACAAGAUGUAGUCUGAUGAUCAAGCCACUACUGGAAUAUGUCUUGGCGAGUUUGUGGAUUAUAUUCAUCGUUUAUCUCUCAUCUUCUCUGGGUUCUUGCAGAUAAGAAAUGCUCCUUUGGAGUCCCGUUGAAAAUAAUCGGGUGAAAGAAUUGAUGGCACCGAGAGAGCAACUGUUUACUGUCGGUUUAAUUUUCCCUCAUUUGUUUGCACGGCUAAUUUUGUUUGUGUUAAUAAGGAGAGGCGAUUUUUAUCUUUUUGAUGGAUUAUAGCUUGAUAGGAACCUAGCUAUAGGAGUCCCGUGAGGAAACUCACUUAGUAUUUUCGUUCUUUUAAGUCAUUUCUUUCCUUCUUUUGAUGGUUCAAGGAUGAUAAGGAUGAUGAAUAAUUGAGUUCUCUCUCUCUCUCUCUCUCUCUCUCUCUCUCUCUCUCUCUCUAUCAUGCGCACGCUAGCGCAAAAUAUGAUAGCCUUGGUGAGGUACCACAUUGAUAUCAAAGCAUCGGGCUUAAGCCCUCCACCAAGAGCCAAGGGUAAAUCCCUUUCACAAAGAAGGUAGGCCCAACUGGGCGGUGGGGGUAUUAGUUCCAUGAUUUGGGAAUCUUCUUGAAUCUUGGCACAAGCAGUUAUACAAGGCUGAUUUGGAGUCAAGUCUCUUACAUAUUUAGAUGGCGUUCUGCUAAAGUAUGAUUACUGUAGAAAUGGUACUUCUCAAGCUAUGAAAUAUAGUUUAUGUGAAGUAUUGACCUUCUUCCAUGUCUCUUGGGGAUCAGAAUUUGAGAUAUAUAGUUUUCAUGGACAAAAGUAGAAGAAUACUGGGGCGAAUAUUUUCUUCUUUGAUCGAUCUAGCUUUGUUCCACUAAAUCCUUUGUUUGUUUGCUGCAAGAGUUUGUAGAUUCUUGGCUACUACUUAGCAACCCCUAGUCUGUCCUUAUACUUGCUCCUUAACAUACAUCAACUGAGAUGUCCCACCAACUAAAAUAGUUGUUUCUUCCAAGAAACAUGCUUGACAUAUACUGUUUUUAUCAGAGAAGCAGUCUAGAGAGCAAUUCCACACAUUUUUAUUGUCCUUUUUGUGAUUUUCUUGCAUAUAACUUGUGUUUAUUCUCUCAUUCUCUUGAGGAUGAAAAUAUGUCCUAGUAGUACAAGCAAGUCGUGGCUUACACACAAGGUAGAGUUUCCUGAGAAGCAAGGCAAAGAAAUGAAAGAUAAGGGUAGUGGCACAACAGAGGUAUGUAUGAGGUUGCUCUUCUAUUUCCGAACAUUAUAUCAUGGUGGCCGCUGGGUUUUACAAUUGGGAGUCGAACAGGCUGUAGGUACUUAAUGAACAAACCUUGUGGUGAAAGGGUUCGAUAGUGCUUAAUUUUUCAUGAUUUGUGUCAUAGUGAGUUGUUGGCUUUACUAAAUUUGCACGCUGUGAUAUAUGAAUAUAUGAAUAGAACAGUUGCUUCAUCAUUUUGUGAAGGUGUGUAAUAUUCCAUGAUUUAUGACAUCAUACAUAUAUAUGUAGUUUAACAUUUGGAUGAUCACUUUGUAUGGUAGAGAUAGUUUUUUAGGUGGCACUUUUACGGAAAAAAGAAGAAAUGCUUUGUUGCUUAUCCUAUCUUCUGUUCUCACACAUCACAUGUUUCCUGUACAUUUAGUGUUUCCCUUGUAGCUUGUCUAACAUAUCACAUGUUUCCUGUUCCAUUAGCGUCUCUUUUGUGGUACUUAUAGAGCAUUAUUAUGGUGCAUAAUUUGCUGAUGCAUAUGUUGACCGAAGAGACUUUGAGAGAAAUUUUGUGGUUUACCUGCUUGUAGAGUUUGUCGAUGUCAUCUACAUUUGGCCAACUAUAUUAAUCAACAUAAAAUUGAUCCUUUGAAGGACUUUGUGCUUAUUCCUUUUCAUCUUGCACUAAUCAAUUGCUUUUACGAUGUGGAGAUACUUUUUAUGGAACUUAUCUAUCCAUCUUUCCUUUUCACCAUAUGUUUGUAAUUGGGUUUUCAUCCUACUUUGCUAGUUGGCAAAUUCUCAUUUUGAUGAUCUAAUCCAUGAUAUGAUAGUCGAAGUGGUUUCUUUAGUUUUCAUUUGCUUGUCCAAUUAUUGAAAUUUGGAGCUAGAACAUUUGGCAAAAUGCUCGAUGAUAACGAGUGUGAAUCCCAGAGAACUGCUUCUCGAACCUAAACCGGUGGUGGUAUUAAUACGGCACAUUGAACGAACAGGUGAAGAACGCGGGCCUUUGCGUCCAUUUUCUGGGGAAAUGGACGAGAAGGGGAUGAGCAAGGGGGAGAGAGAGAGGGGCGACGGCUGGUGGCUGGAGGGUGGGUGACUCAAGGUGGUGUUGUGCGUGCGGCGGUGGUGAUUGGGACUCCAGUAGUUUGGUAGCUUGGUCACAGUACAUGUUACGAGGUGUAGGAGCAACACCUCACAUUACAAAAUUUGCAUUUGAGUAGUUGGAAAUUAUGUUCUUCUUAUUGUUUUUAUUUGCCAAUGAAACUUUUAGUAAUUGGAAGAAUACCAUGUGCACCAGAGGCUUAGAAAAUUAAUCACACAAGACCUUGUUGCA